This 30-nucleotide non-coding RNA is filed under the name Mus musculus (house mouse). The record is from RNAcentral. Lineage: Eukaryota; Metazoa; Chordata; Mammalia; Rodentia; Muridae.
UAUUAUGCCAGAUUUAAACCCACUGGGCCU